GCGGCCCGGGUUCGAUUCCCGGUCAGG
Molecule: non-coding RNA, 27 nt
Filed under: Gallus gallus (chicken)
Lineage: Eukaryota; Metazoa; Chordata; Aves; Galliformes; Phasianidae
Also listed under: 5 other names
Source: RNAcentral